Molecule: ribosomal RNA, 253 nt
Filed under: uncultured bacterium
Lineage: Bacteria
Description: partial 16S ribosomal RNA
Rfam family: Bacterial small subunit ribosomal RNA
Source: RNAcentral
UACAGAGGGUGCGAGCGUUGUCCGGAAUCACUGGGCGUAAAGGGCGCGUAGGCGGCGCGGUAAGCGUGCGGUGAAAGCCCGGGGCUCAACCCCGGGUCGGCCGUGCGGACUGCCGGGCUGGAGCACUGUAGAGGCAGGUGGAAUUCCGGGUGUAGCGGUGGAAUGUGUAGAGAUCCGGAAGAACACCGGUGGCGAAGGCGGCCUGCUGGGCAGUAGCUGACGCUGAAGCGCGACAGCGUGGGGAGCAAACAGG